Molecule: small RNA, 33 nt
Filed under: Propionibacterium australiense
Lineage: Bacteria; Bacillati; Actinomycetota; Actinomycetes; Propionibacteriales; Propionibacteriaceae
Description: CRISPR_Spacer
Source: RNAcentral
CUGCUUUGACUGCCGCGCGGGCUCCGCUUAGAG